AUUGAACGCUGGCGGCAGGCCUAACACAUGCAAGUCGAGCGGAUGAAGGGAGCUUGCUCCUGGAUUCAGCGGCGGACGGAUGAGUAAUGCCUAGGAAUCUGCCUGGUAGUGGGGGAUAACGUCCGGAAACGGGCGCUAAUACCGCAUACGUCCUGAGGGAGAAAGUGGGGGAUCUUCGGACAUCACGCUAUCAGAUGAGCCUAGGUCGGAUUAGCUAGUUGGUGGGGUAAAGGCCUACCAAGGCGACGAUCCGUAACUGGUCUGAGAGGAUGAUCAGUCACACUGGAACUGAGACACGGUCCAGACUCCUACGGGAGGCAGCAGUGGGGAAUAUUGGACAAUGGGCGAAAGCCUGAUCCAGCCAUGCCGCGUGUGUGAAGAAGGUCUUCGGAUUGUAAAGCACUUUAAGUUGGGAGGAAGGGCAGUAAGUUAAUACCUUGCUGUUUUGACGUUACCAACAGAAUAAGCACCGGCUAACUUCGUG
Molecule: ribosomal RNA, 484 nt
Filed under: uncultured bacterium
Lineage: Bacteria
Description: partial 16S ribosomal RNA
Rfam family: Bacterial small subunit ribosomal RNA
Source: RNAcentral